AUAUCAAUUUCCGGUUCGGCCCAUGACUUGAGGGCAUUAUAGUGAUCGGACAUCUUAAAACCCUAGGUUCCCACCAUGCUGCGCGCUAUAAAUAAGACCCACGCGUUAACCCCUUCCGCGGUCGCCGACUCCUUCGGAGAUGUCGAAACGAGGACGAGGAGGCACCGCUGGAAACAAGUUCCGCAUGUCGCUGGGUCUUCCGGUGGCGGCGACGGUCAACUGUGCCGACAACACAGGGGCCAAGAACCUCUAUAUUAUAUCCGUCAAGGGGAUAAAGGGCCGGCUAAACCGGCUUCCGUCUGCUUGUGUCGGGGAUAUGGUGAUGGCUACCGUCAAGAAGGGUAAGCCGGACUUGAGGAAGAAGGUUAUGCCUGCUGUCAUUGUCAGGCAGCGGAAGCCGUGGCGCAGAAAGGAUGGUGUCUACAUGUACUUUGAAGGAGAUUUUCUGGGUGAGAAUUGUUUCAACAUGCUGGAGCAAACCAAUUAUGUUUGUAAAUUCCUGAGUAAACGUCACAGACAAAGGUAAACCUUUGUAAGUCUCCGAGUGUCGACGGUCCUUCCUGAAAAGGUAAACCUUUGUGGGGAGUUUGUCCAUUUGGAGGUGGUCUCAUAUUCCAUCGCCUGGAAGAGCAGCAUUGUUGCCGUUAUCUCUUGGGACUGGCCAUGAGACAUACAUCUAUCUAAUGAGCUAAGAUCAAGGUGGUAGCAACACUGUGAAUCUUUAUCUAUGUUGACGGAGGAGAUUUUCUGGGGAGUUCCUCCAUUUGGAGGUGGUCUCAUAUUCCAUCGCCUGGAGGAGCAGCAUCGCUGCCAUUACCUCUUGGGACUGGCCAUGAGACAUACAUAUAGCUGUUGAGCUAAGAUAAAGGGAGUUUUUCCAUUUAGGGGUGGUUUCAUAUUCCAUCACCUGGAGCAGCAGCAUUGUUGCUGUUGUCUGGGACUGGUCGUGAGUCACACCUGCUUGUGCACUAGGUUUAUAUUAGCCUUUUUGUUGUGAUAUGUCAGAAGUGUAAUAAUAUGUUAUUUUGUAAUCUGGAUCACAGUCGCCUCUCUCGUAGGUUCAAGUAGUUUGAACUUUGGCCGUCAUCUGAUCCUUUGGAGUUGCUUCUGUUCUGGAAGAGUGGCUUCCACUGGAGUCAUUCUGUAGCGAGAAGCAUAUAUUUAAUUUGGCCAGUGUUAAACAGCAUGAUGUUAUAGAAUAGCAUUAUGUUACCUGUCUCCUGGUAAAUUACUCAUGCAUAGUGAAUUCACUUGGUUGGGAGGAAGAUGAUAAAAUUAGUGGGCUCUUAAUGUUCGUUAUAAUGUUUUUUUAACUCUGGUACAUAUGCAUAUUUUUAUGUUAGUGCCACUUGGUGGAGUCAUGUUGGCUGUCCUUAUAUCGUAUUUUUUUGCUGCUUAGUAUAAUGCUGAAUUAUGGACUCAUAUUAAAAAAAUUGUCUU
Musa acuminata AAA Group (dessert banana) is the source of this 1440-nucleotide RNA transcript. It is a transcript of the gene named large ribosomal subunit protein uL14x/uL14z/uL14y, with no coding region annotated. Lineage: Eukaryota; Viridiplantae; Streptophyta; Magnoliopsida; Zingiberales; Musaceae. The record is from RefSeq and is a predicted model, not a curated record. The transcript is spliced from 5 exons.